RNAcentral lists this ribosomal RNA (232 nucleotides) under uncultured Fusibacter sp. RNAcentral describes it as "partial 16S ribosomal RNA". It matches the Rfam family "Bacterial small subunit ribosomal RNA", at positions 1157 to 1382 of the family's 1533-position model. The record is from RNAcentral. Lineage: Bacteria; Bacillati; Bacillota; Clostridia; Eubacteriales; Fusibacteraceae.
ACAACGACGGAGGAAGGUGGGGAAUGACGUCAAAUCACUCAUGCCCCGUUAUGAUCUGGGCUACACACGUGCUACAAUGGCCGGUACAACGGGCAGCGAAGGAGCGAUCCGGAGCGAAUCCUAAAAAGCCCGGUCCCAGGUUCGGAUUGCAGGCUAGAAACUCGCCUACAUGAAGUUGGAGUUGCUAGUAAUCGCGAAUCAGAAUGUCGCGGUGAAUGCGUUCCCGGGUCUU